This 3355-nucleotide unclassified non-coding RNA is filed under the name Hevea brasiliensis (rubber tree). Lineage: Eukaryota; Viridiplantae; Streptophyta; Magnoliopsida; Malpighiales; Euphorbiaceae. The record is from RNAcentral.
UUGAUAUUGUAUUUAAUGGUGAAAACCAUACCAGAUAUUAGUUACAUCCAUGGCAGGCGUGUCCCUACACCACACUAAUGGCUAAUAGGCUAAUUUUUAUCUUCUCAGAAACCCCAAUAAAAGCAUGAGCUUAGCUGCUGGAGAUUUCUCAGUCUUUGGUUGAAAGUGAAAGAGGAAACAGAUUUUAAUAACCCAUAUAACAAACACUUGUACAUGAAGCUGAAGCUCUCCACUAUUAUCAUUAAUUGCUCCUAACAACACCUAAUCACCCUUUUGGCCUCUUCUUCUAACUUCUAAUCCACUGGUGUUCUAUAUUAUGAUAUUUGCCCCUCCAUUUAUUUCCCACCAAAUCCUCUUUCUUUCUCUCUCCUUCAACUUCAAGCCUUAGAAAAAAGAGAGAAAAUAAUUAAAGAAACAAUGGGAAACAGUCAGGGACUUAAUGAUUCUCACGUCCCACAAAACCCAUUUCUUGAAUCCAACUCUACCUUUUCAAAUCUCUCAACGACUGCAGCAACAGCAAAUCUUGUUUUGUUUUCUUGAAGCAAAAAUACCCAUAAAAUAAAGAAAAGAAAUCAUUUUUUUUCUUGGGUUUUUGUUUUUAAUAUUGCAAGAAAACGCCCUUUUCAUUGCCAGCCAUGACCGAGGUCCUUCACUCCCCUUCCCAUUUCCCUUCUUCGCCAAGCACCACUCUUGUUUCUAAUUCUUCUUCUUGCGCCCCUGACGCAACUUCCUUAUCCUGCGCAUCCUCCAGGCAAUUUCCCUCAAUACAAAGUAAUGGUGGUGGUGGUGGUGAUGCUCAGGAGGAGGAGGGUUCUCCCGUGACUUUGUGUGACCCAGAUGAGGACUUUGUGAAGGCCAGAGAGAAGAAACAGAGGGAACAGCUUUCUUUGUUGGCUCUGGUCGUCACCCUUUUUAGGAAAUCUUUGGUGGCUUGCAAGAGUGAUAGAAGGGAGCUUUGUGCCAUGGAGAUCGGUUGGCCAACCAAUGUUCGCCAUGUGGCUCAUGUUACCUUCGACAGGUUCAAUGGUUUCCUGGGCUUGCCAGUGGAGUUCGAGCCUGAAGUGCCUAGGAGGGCUCCCAGUGCUAGUGCAACUGUCUUUGGAGUUUCGACAGAAUCCAUGCAGCUGUCUUUUGACUCCAGAGGGAACAGUGUACCAAUGAUACUCUUGUUAAUGCAAAGACACUUGUAUGCUCAGGGAGGCUUGCAGGUGCAUUUCCUUGAUAUUUUCUCUGUUAGCAUCAAUGGGCUUGCCACAAAGAGUAGGGAAUUGUGGAAAAAGAAAAGGAAAAGCUUUUGGCAAAAAUUGUGUGUGAUUUAUGUGAAGAUGCUUGCUUUAUUUAUAGUUGGAGUUUAGUUUGAUUUGAUUUGGGUGGUCAUACUCAAAUUGUUAAUUACUGCAUUCAGGCUGAAGGUAUUUUCAGAAUUAAUGCAGAAAAUAGUCAGGAGGAGUAUGUGAGGGAUCAAUUGAAUAGAGGAGUUGUACCAGAAGGCAUUGAUGUACACUGUUUGGCAGGACUUAUCAAGGUAUCUGCAGCACAAUUUAAUUUAAUUUCAUUUCUCUUUUAAAUGCAUUCUGCUUUUGACAUAUUUGGUCUUUGCGUGGAGCUACUCAUUCAUCCAAUAUGAGUUGAAAUGUUUGCUGAGUGGUGAUAGAACUAGAAGUUACAUCAAGCCAGGGAAUGUAUCACUUGUAAUUGUAAUGGUUAAUCAAUCAGGGAAGGAUUGUUAAGAGUGGGAAAGGAGGAACAUGGGGAGUAUUGAAAGAAAGACCACCAUAUUGAUCACCCAUGUGAUGCACCUGUCGAGCUAUAUGCUUGUUAGAAUUGAACUAAUCCAAAUGAAAAUUUAUGUUAAAAAAGUGAGGUGAGGAGUUUGGAAAUCUGAAUGCAUGGAAGAAGAUUUUUUUUCUUAUUAGUGUUUAUGUUAUAAAAUCAACCUAAUUUUUAUUAUGAACUUCAUAAUCAUGUAAAACUGUAAUGUUUUGAUGACUAUAUUGAUAAUAUGUUGGUUGCUGGAUACAACUCAUGCCUCUGAGAGGAAAACAUGGCCAAGAUUAUCAGUAAUAACUAAUGUGUGUGGUAUCAAUCAGGCUGAAUCAGGUUAUGCAAUUCUGCACACAACACCAUAAAAUUAUCGAUUGUUAUGGGUUAUAAUUUCUGUUUAACCUGGGUUAGGUACAUUUUAACUGGGACAUUAUUGUUUUUGCUGCCUUAUUAAGCAAGACGUUAAAAAAGAUGUGUCAUUGUUAAAAGCUUUGUGUUCGUCUUACAAAAUUAUUCUCUGUUGAACCAUUUCAAUAAGAUUAGAUCUGUGCUUCAUUAUUAAGUGUUGCAAUGUAGAUUCAUUACAAGUACAACUCUGGCUUUUGCAGUUGAUCUCUAUUGUUCCUCCAUCACCAUGAUUAACUUUUUGCCACCACAACUGCAGUAGCCAUACAUCCCUUCGCUAAUUUUCUUGUGCAUUACCAACCUCAUUCCUACUAAUGGUGCCAUGCCAUCACUAUCACUCAAGGCUGCAAACUUUGAGCCUGCCAUUUUUCAAUAUCCUUGUCCUCUCAUCUGACAGCCUCUUCAACACUGCCCUCACAUAGCCGCAAUACCUCCACUAAACCAAUCCUAUUAUUGCAUCAUUUCCUUAAUACCACAACUAGACGAAUACAGUCAAUAUCACCAAUAAUUAUGAAUGGUCUGGCCAUAAUAUUGAGACCUUACAGUAGAAAUUAAAAUGGUAACUUGUUUAUUUAGUUUGCAUAACAGGACUGUUCUACUCUGAAUUUUUGGCCCCGUGUUACUUUUUCUCAUUUGGACUAACUGGAAAACGAGUAUUAAGCAUGCCAUAUAUAAAAUGAUAAUACUACUCUCUUAAGUGGCAUUUUUCUUGAAUUACAUUAUUACAUGUGUUAAUUUUUCUAGCUUUGAUUUUAUAGUUAAUCUUGUUUGAUGUGAUAUUUUGAUAUCAUUGUUUUGUUUUCAAAAUUUCAUCUUUCUUUUCAUGGUUUUAGUAUUAUCGUAUGUGCAUUUGGGUGGGUACCGUCAAAGAGUGGGUGCUUAUUUUGUCACAACAUUGAUUCCUUCACAUUAUUUUGUGUCGAAUAUUCAUUUAUUACCUGGAGUAUGAUUAUUUCUCUAGGCUUGGUUUAGAGAGCUCCCAACUGGAGUUCUGGAUUCUCUAUCGCCUGAGCAAGUCAUGCAAUGCCAAACAGAAGAAGAUUGUGCUGAGCUUGCAAGGCGUCUGCCCCCUACAGAAGCUGCCCUACUGGAUUGGGCUGUCAAUCUGAUGGCCGAUGUUGUCCAGCAAGAACAUGUAAACAAGAUGAAUGCACGCAACAUAGCCAUGGUUUUUGCACCAAACAUG